Molecule: non-coding RNA, 263 nt
Organism: Hydra vulgaris (swiftwater hydra)
Lineage: Eukaryota; Metazoa; Cnidaria; Hydrozoa; Anthoathecata; Hydridae
Source: RefSeq, a predicted model, not a curated record
GGUGGUUUAAGUUAUUGAGUCUUUACUUGUGCUUUUUUUUGAAAAGAGUUUAUAAUCGAAACUUGCAACAAAAAAUCUUGAAACCUUUACACAAAACCUACUCACACAAAAAAAACAAUCUCAAAUUCGAAUGCCUUCUCUUAAUGUUGAUCGUUUUUUAACAUCCAAAGGGAAGUUUUGUUAAUCUUUAUACCAUUUACUAAAAGAUAUAUUAUAGGGAAACAAUUCAAAUUGAUUUUAUAAAGUACUUCUGAUACUUUUUA